CGACGGAAGUCUUUGGUGAAUCUGAAAACUGAACAACUGAAAGUCGACAACUGUUCCAAAAACUAGACUGUUGAAUCAUUUUAAAAUGUAGAUUCAGUCAUGUAGGCUACGAAUUCUUUCGCUGCGCAACGUUUAGUAUAGCGAAUAGAUUUGGAGAGGUCCUGAUCUGUAUCUAAAUUCAUCUGGCUAGCACAGGGCCAGUUGCUGUAACGAACCCUAAGAUCAAAAGAUGAAGAUGGAAACCUUGAUCUUUCAUGGUAUGUGGUGAUGUUUAAAGAUGCUCAGUUUCUUGUGAUUUGGUGGUGAGCCAUUGCUUGUUAGGCAUGAGUUUCGAUGGUGCCCGGUUUUUGCGUCAAAUAUGGAGGGUUGUGGUGUUAGCAGGAAAUUGCUCUUUCAUGCCAGGCGCUCGGAAGGUACGGACCGAUCAUCACUGAACAAUGUAGUGGGCGCUACUAUUACCUGAAUUAACGCAGAACUUGGUCUUGGUUCUUCUGUGGAUAUAUCGGUGGUGUCCGACCGCGGUUGGUGUAAUUCGGGUCUAGCAGUAGUGAUGAGUCGUGAAUUUCACUGCCGUAAGGUUACUAAUCGUUUGCCACUGAUGCUGUCACCUGAUUUGCCGGCGACUUGGUUAUAGCUUUUUCGUCUGUACAUGGACUAGCUAUGUUCGGGAUUGGUUAAUGCCUAUAGGUUAGUUAACAUUUUUUUCUUUCUGUCUCUUUCGUGGGUUUGUUAGGUGAUGACACGUUUAAUGGCGAUUUUCUGUGAUUAAGGCCGUAGCCAAAAGGAUACUGACUUCUUUAUUUUACCGUACAAUUGUGAGUUGUUUCGUCGUGCGCUAUAACUUUAUUCUGUGCAGGUAUAGCAGAGUCGCGGCGAAUCGUGGGUUAUAUUGUUUGAUUAGCUGUUAACGACCAGCGUGUGAGUAAUAUUUCUGUAUUGUGUUAUUCCAGCUAUUAAUGAUGAAACUAUUGUAUCCGUAUUGAUGGAUGAUGGUAGUACAAGCUCAACAGGUCUGAUACUGUUGUCUGAAAACGAAAUUUGCAGUCGAAAUGUUUUUUUUAACAUUUUUCUUCGUAAAAAAUACAGGCGUGAGUUAUUCGUAUCUCUUACCAGUAUGUGGUCUGGAUGGAGCUUUUUUUCCCGCGGGUGCUGCGUAGUAUUUUUGGGAUUGAUGAACGGCGUGGUAAGAAUCUUAUCAUGACAUUUUCCUUCUCUGCAGUUCUACAGUUUUAUCUCCACAUUUUUCAACAAAGUUUAGUGGGAACCAAAAGCUGUGAAUUUGUGUUGCACCCUGAAAAAUUAUGCGAUUUCUUUGUAGAAUCCAACUCUUCUGUAAAUUCUGCAAUGGCAGAUUUGGAAAUAUUUAUUGCCAGGUUAGGAAUGUUUAGAAUAUUGCAUAAGGUGACUCAAUAUAUUCAUUUUCAUUUGCACGAACAAAUACAAAUUCCUGUAUCGUUA
This 1458-nucleotide long non-coding RNA is filed under the name Daphnia magna. RNAcentral describes it as "uncharacterized LOC116917701, transcript variant X2". Lineage: Eukaryota; Metazoa; Arthropoda; Branchiopoda; Diplostraca; Daphniidae. The record is from RNAcentral.